UCCGCACCAGUGGGAGCAGAGUUCUAAUGGAUUGUAACCCAGUGUGUUCGAGACCAGUUUCUUAUGCGAAUUUGCACUAAUAUUUUUUUGGAGCAGUGUUUUCUCCAGGUUUUGCAGAGCUGCCUUUCCCUUAUGACUGUCUCUGUGUAAUUUAGUCUGCUUUCAUUAUGCUGCCAACUCUGUGAUCCUCCUGCAUCAACCACCACAGAUCUGGCAUUACUGUUCUUUCUGCACAAGUUGACACUGUCGUUCAACACAUUACAAAUCCUAGAAGAGACAUAUUCCCUAGAAUCAUGUGACACUCAAUGUCUUGUUACACAUGAGAGGGAGUCCCACCAGGCUCUUCAGUGGGCUCCAGGCCUUUGAUUUUUAACUGGAUCCUCCAGCUCACCAGCCAGCUCACAGUGAACUACAUGAAACAUCUAUGGAAAGAAUUCACAUCGAUGGAAAGAAUGAACGAUUUUCUUCUUAGGAAACAAACAGAAAAAGCAAGACUUGGGUGUAAGAAAGUACUUAAUGAAGACUUCCUGCUUCUGCAGCAAACACAGAGGCUGUAGUGGCUACAGCAGGAGGUGGGAGCAGAUGGGACAGAGGGAUCUGCUUGGCAAGGGUGGCUGCUGGGACAUGAGAGAAGCUACAGGAGGUCCCUUCUACAGCAGGCCUUGAGCAGUACAUUGUCCUGCUGCUGUAAUUGUGUCCAACUGCCUAAAGCAUACUGUCCCUGUGAUGUUCUCUGAUUUCCUCAUUUUUCCAAAAUAAAC
Molecule: long non-coding RNA, 761 nt
Organism: Cavia porcellus (domestic guinea pig)
Lineage: Eukaryota; Metazoa; Chordata; Mammalia; Rodentia; Caviidae
Exons: 4
Source: RefSeq, a predicted model, not a curated record